GGAGGACGGUGGAAUGAGCGGCGGACGGGUGAGUAACACGUAAAGAACCUGCCCAUAGGUCUGGGAUAACCACGAGAAAUCGGGGCUAAUACCGGAUGUGUCAUCGGACCGCAUGGUCCGUUGAUGAAAGGCGCUUUGGCGUCGCCCAUGGAUGGCUUUGCGGUGCAUUAGCUAGUUGGUGGGGUAACGGCCCACCAAGGCGACGAUGCAUAGCCGACCUGAGAGGGUGAUCGGCCACACUGGGACUGAGACACGGCCCAGACUCCUACGGGAGGCAGCAGUAGGGAAUCUUCCACAAUGGACGAAAGUCUGAUGGAGCAACGCCGCGUGAACGAUGAAGGCUUUCGGGUCGUAAAGUUCUGUUGUAAGGGAAGAACAAGUGCCGCAGGCAAUGGCGGCACC
Molecule: ribosomal RNA, 402 nt
Filed under: bacterium Urfbp22
Lineage: Bacteria
Description: bacterial SSU rRNA
Rfam family: Bacterial small subunit ribosomal RNA
Source: RNAcentral